Molecule: ribosomal RNA, 505 nt
Filed under: uncultured bacterium
Lineage: Bacteria
Description: bacterial SSU rRNA
Rfam family: Bacterial small subunit ribosomal RNA
Source: RNAcentral
CUACGUGCCAGCAGCCGCGGUAAUACGGAAGGUUCGGGCGUUAUCCGGAUUUAUUGGGUUUAAAGGGAGCGUAGGCCGGAGAUUAAGUGUGUUGUGAAAUGUAGACGCUCAACGUCUGACUUGCAGCGCAUACUGGUUUCCUUGAGUACGCACAACGUUGGCGGAAUUCGUCGUGUAGCGGUGAAAUGCUUAGAUAUGACGAAGAACUCCGAUUGCGAAGGCAGCUGACGGGAGCGCAACUGACGCUUAAGCUCGAAGGUGCGGGUAUCGAACAGGAUUAGAUACCCUGGUAGUCCGCACAGUAAACGAUGGAUGCCCGCUGUUGGUACCUGGUAUCAGCGGCUAAGCGAAAGCAUUAAGCAUCCCACCUGGGGAGUACGCCGGCAACGGUGAAACUCAAAGGAAUUGACGGGGGCCCGCACAAGCGGAGGAACAUGUGGUUUAAUUCGAUGAUACGCGAGGAACCUUACCCGGGCUUGAAUUGCAGAGGAAUUAUUUAGAGAUA